UAUCCGGUUUUAUGGGCGUAAAGGGUCGUGUAGGCUGUUUAUAAGGUAUCUUUGAAAGCUCGCCGCUUAACGGUGAGUUGGGGAUACGACUGUAAUGACUAGAAUUUCUUCAAGGGUAAUCGGAACUCAGAGAGGAGUAGUGAAAUGCGUUGAUACUCUGGGGAACACCAAUGGCGAAGGCAGAUUACUGGGAGGAAAUUGACGCUGAGACACGAAAGCUAGGGGAGCGAAGCAGAUUAGAGACCUGCGUAGUCCUAGCCCUAAACGAAUGUCUGCUACCUGCAUUUUCAUUGUGCCGUAAGGUACGAUAAGGUGUGGGAAAGGUAACCCGUUAAGCAGAUCGCCUGGGGAGUACUGCCGCAAGGUUAAAACUCAAAGGAAUUGGCGGGGAGGCACACAACCAGUGGAACAUGUGGUUUAAUUUGAUACAAACCAAAGAACCUCACCAAGUCUUGACAUGCUAGCGUCCAGUUCUGUAGAAAUAUGGAAUGUUCGCAAGAAGGCUAGCACAGGUGCUGCAUGGCUGUCGUCAGCUCGCUCCGUGAGGAGUGCCCUUAAGUGGGACAACGAGCGCAACCCCCAUCUUGUGUUAAAAAUGUCACAAGAAACUGCUCCGCCUUUGGUGGAGAGGAAGGAGGGGCAGACGUCAAGUCAGCAUGGUCCUUAUGACUUGGGCUACACACAUGUUACAAUGGAGGGGACAAAGAGUAUAGCGACACCGCAAGGUGAAGCAAAUCUCUUAAACCCAUCCUCAGUGGGGAUUGGGGUCUGAAACUCGACCCCAUGAACACGGAAUUGGUAGUAAUCGCAGGUCAGCCAUACUGCGGUGAAUACGUUCUUGCCUCUUGCACACACCGCCCGU
This 862-nucleotide ribosomal RNA is filed under the name uncultured bacterium. RNAcentral describes it as "bacterial SSU rRNA". It matches the Rfam family "Bacterial small subunit ribosomal RNA", at positions 542 to 1397 of the family's 1533-position model. The record is from RNAcentral.